RNAcentral lists this ribosomal RNA (106 nucleotides) under uncultured bacterium. RNAcentral's name for it is "partial 16S ribosomal RNA". It matches the Rfam family "Bacterial small subunit ribosomal RNA", at positions 1365 to 1482 of the family's 1533-position model. The record is from RNAcentral.
AAUACGUUCCCGGGUCUUGUACACACCGCCCGUCAUACCACGAAAGUCAGUAACACCCGAAGUCGUGCUUCGAGUACGCCGAAGGUGAGAUUGAUGAGUUGGGGUA